UACGGAAGGUCCGGGCGUUAUCCGGAUUUAUUGGGUUUAAAGGGAGCGUAGGCCGUCUUAUAAGCGUGUUGUGAAAUGUCGGGGCUUAACCUGGGCAUUGCAGCGCGAACUGUGAGACUUGAGUGCGCAGGAAGUAGGCGGAAUUCGUCGUGUAGCGGUGAAAUGCUUAGAUAUGACGAAGAACUCCGAUUGCGAAGGCAGCCUGCUGUAGCGCAACUGACGCUGAAGCUCGAAAGCGUGGGUAUCGAACAGG
Molecule: ribosomal RNA, 253 nt
Filed under: Leyella stercorea DSM 18206
Lineage: Bacteria; Pseudomonadati; Bacteroidota; Bacteroidia; Bacteroidales; Prevotellaceae
Description: Prevotella stercorea DSM 18206 partial 16S ribosomal RNA
Rfam family: Bacterial small subunit ribosomal RNA
Source: RNAcentral